CCUACGUGAGGCAGCAGUGGGGAAUAUUGGACAAUGGGCGAAAGCCUGAUCCAGCCAUGCCGCGUGUGUGAAGAAGGCCUUCGGGUUGUAAAGCACUUUCAGUGGGGAAGAAAGCCUUGGGGCUAAUACCCUCGAGGAAGGACAUCACCCACAGAAGAAGCACCGGCUAACUCCGUGCCAGCAGCCGCGGUAAUACGGAGGGUGCGAGCGUUAAUCGGAAUUACUGGGCGUAAAGCGCGCGUAGGCGGUCUGAUAAGCCGGUUGUGAAAGCCCCGGGCUCAACCUGGGAACGGCAUCCGGAACUGUCAGGCUAGAGUGCAGGAGAGGAAGGUAGAAUUCCCGGUGUAGCGGUGAAAUGCGUAGAGAUCGGGAGGAAUACCAGUGGCGAAGGUGGCCUUCUGGACUGACACUGACGCUGAGGUGCGAAAGCGUGGGUAGCAAACAGGAUUAGAUACCCUUGUAGUC
This 465-nucleotide ribosomal RNA is filed under the name Vreelandella stevensii. RNAcentral describes it as "partial 16S ribosomal RNA". It matches the Rfam family "Bacterial small subunit ribosomal RNA", at positions 338 to 795 of the family's 1533-position model. Lineage: Bacteria; Pseudomonadati; Pseudomonadota; Gammaproteobacteria; Oceanospirillales; Halomonadaceae. The record is from RNAcentral.